AGAGUUUGAUCCUGGCUCAGAAUGAACGUUGGCGGCGUGGAUUAGGCAUGCAAGUCGCGCGACAAGGCGCUUAUAGCAAUAUAAGUGCUGGAGGAGCGGCGAAAGGGUGAGGAACACGUGGAUAUCUACCCUCAGGCUCGGGAUAGUGGCGGGAAACUGCCAGUAAUACCGAAUAACAUCUCCGGAUCAAAGCUCCGGCGCCUGUGGACGAGUCCGCGUCCCAUUAGCUAGUUGGCGGGGUAAUAGCCCACCAAGGCAAAGACGGGUAGUGGGCGUGAGAGCGCGACCCACCACACUGGGACUGAGAUACUGCCCAGACACCUACGGGUGGCCGCAGUCGAGAAUCUUCGGCAAUGGGCGAAAGCCUGACCGAGCGACGCCGCGUGGAGGAUGAAGGCCUUCGGGUUGUAAACUCCUGUCGGAGGGGAAGAAAUUUUGACUACCCCCUCGGAGGAAGCCCGGGCUAAGUUCGUGCCAGCAGCCGCGGUAACACGAACCGGGCAAACGUUAUUCGGAAUUACUGGGCUUAAAGGGUGCGUAGGCUGCGUUAUAAGUCGGGUGUGAAAUCCCUCAGCUCAACUGAGGAACUGCGCCCGAUACUGUAGUGCUUGAGGAGGAUAGAGGUGAGCGGAACUAGCAGUGGAGCGGUGAAAUGCGUUGAUAUUGCUGGGAACACCCGUGGCGAAAGCGGCUCACUGGGUCCUUUCUGACGCUGAGGCACGAAAGCUAGGGGAGCGAACGGGAUUAGAUACCCCGGUAGUCCUAGCCGUAAACGAUGAGCACUAGAUCGGGGAGACCUCCACAUCUUCCCGAUCGUAGCGAAAGUGUUAAGUGCUCCGCCUGGGGAGUAUGGUCGCAAGGCUGAAACUCAAAGGAAUUGACGGGGGCUCACACAAGCGGUGGAGGAUGUGGCUUAAUUCGAGGCUACGCGAAGAACCUUACCUAGUCUUGACAUGCUUAGGAAUCCUCUGGAAACAGAGGAGUGCUCGCAAGAGAGCCUUUGCACAGGUGCUGCAUGGCUGUCGUCAGCUCGUGUCGUGAGAUGUCGCGUUAAGUCGCUUAACGAGCGAAACCCUUGUCGUUAGUUGCCAGCGCGUUAUGGCGGGGACUCUAACGAGACUGCCGGUGUUAAACCGGAGGAAGGUGGGGAUGACGUCAAGUCCUCAUGGCCUUUAUGAUUAGGGCUGCACACGUCCUACAAUGGACCACACAAAGGGACGCAAACUCGCGAGAGGGAGCAAAUCCCAAAAAAUGGUCCCCAGUACGGAUUGCAGGCUGAAACCCGCCUGCAUGAAGCCGGAAUCGCUAGUAAUCGCGGGUCAGCAUACCGCGGUGAAUAUGUUCCUGAGCCUUGUACACACCGCCCGUCAAGCCACGAAAGUGGGGGGCGCCCGAAGUCGCCGAGUCAACCCGCAAGGGAGACAAGCGCCGAAGGUGACCUUCGCGAUUGGGACUAAGUCGUAACAAGGUAACC
This 1474-nucleotide ribosomal RNA is filed under the name uncultured soil bacterium. RNAcentral's name for it is "bacterial SSU rRNA". It matches the Rfam family "Bacterial small subunit ribosomal RNA". The record is from RNAcentral.